CCUUCUCAGGAGUCUGGGGGUGCUGCUGACCAUCAGCUGCAGGGGAAAUUCCUAAAAUCUUACAUCACUCCAGCUGAAGAAAAUCUGCUUUGGACUUCAAUUUCCCUGGCUUUUUGACCUCAAUUUCCCUGGCUUUUUGACUUUAUAUUCCCCUGCAUUUUUGACCUUAUUCCUCUGCAUUUUUACCCUUAUUUCUCCUGGAUUUUUGCCCUUAUUCCCCUGCAUUUUUGACCUUAUUUCCCCUGGACUUCUGAUCUUAUUUCUCUGCAUUUUUGACUUUAUAUUCCCCUUUAUUUUUUAUCCUUAUUCCUCUUUAUUUUUACCCUUAUUCCCCUGUAUUUUUGACCAUAUUUUGCCCACGUUUUUACCCUUACUUCCUCUGGACUUUUUCCCUUAUUUCCCUUUUUUUUUACUUUAUUCCUCUGCAUUUUUACCCUUAUUUCUCCUGGAUUUUUGCCCUUAUUCCCCUGCAUUUUUGACCUUAUUUCCCCUGGACUUUUGACCUUAUUCUCGCCUGCAUUUUUGCCCUUAUUUCCCUGCAUUUUUGACCAUAUUUCCCCUGCGUUUUUACCCUUAUUUCCCCUGGACUUUUGCCCUUAUUUCUCUGCAUUUUUGACCAUAUUUCCCCUGGACUUUUGCCCUUAUUUCCCUGCAUUUUUGCCCUUAUUUCCCCUGGACUUUUUCCCUUAUUUCCCUGCAUUUUUGACCAUAUUUCCCCUGGACUUUUCCCCUUAUUCCCCCGCCUUUUCCCCCUCGUUCCCCUGCAUUUCUGACCUUCCCCCUCCACAUCUCCACGCUCCAUUUCCCCUCUCAGGUUCCUCCAGGAUCCCACCAGC
RNAcentral lists this long non-coding RNA (836 nucleotides) under Lonchura striata (white-rumped munia). RNAcentral describes it as "domestica (Bengalese finch) lncRNA (ENSLSDG00000008544.1)". The record is from RNAcentral. Lineage: Eukaryota; Metazoa; Chordata; Aves; Passeriformes; Estrildidae.